RNAcentral lists this non-coding RNA (27 nucleotides) under Rattus norvegicus (Norway rat). Lineage: Eukaryota; Metazoa; Chordata; Mammalia; Rodentia; Muridae. The record is from RNAcentral.
UGAUGCUGUACCAGAAAAGUAGGAAGG